AUUCCAGCUCCAAUAGCGUAUAUUAAAGUUGUUGCGGUUAAAAAGCUCGUAGUUGAAUUUCUGGUCUUGGACGGCGGUCUGCCUCAAACGAGGUACGCACCAUCUGUCCGGGUCCAUCCUCGGGGAAAACAUAUCUGUGAUCCAGUUCAUGGGUAUGGGAUCCUCGUCAUUUACUGUGAGCAAAAUAGGGUGUUCAAAGCAGGCUUAUGCCGUUGAAUACAUUAGCAUGGAAUAAUAAGAUAAGACCUUGGUCUAUUUUGUUGGUUUGCAUUCCAAGGUAAUGAUUAAUAGGGACAGUUGGGGGUAUUCGUAUUCAAUUGUCAGAGGUGUAAUUCUUGGAUUUAUGGAAGACGAACUACUGCGAAAGCAUUUACCAAGGAUGUUUUCAUCA
This 391-nucleotide ribosomal RNA is filed under the name Chrysophyceae sp. Its description in RNAcentral is "partial small subunit ribosomal RNA". It matches the Rfam family "Eukaryotic small subunit ribosomal RNA", at positions 582 to 975 of the family's 1831-position model. Lineage: Eukaryota; Chrysophyceae. The record is from RNAcentral.